RNAcentral lists this ribosomal RNA (243 nucleotides) under uncultured bacterium. RNAcentral describes it as "partial 16S ribosomal RNA". It matches the Rfam family "Bacterial small subunit ribosomal RNA", at positions 57 to 305 of the family's 1533-position model. The record is from RNAcentral.
GCAAGUCGAGCGAGAAAGCACUUCGGUGCGAGUACAGCGGCGGACGGGUGAGUAACGCGUAGGAAUCUACCCAGUAGUGGGGGACAACAGUCGGAAACGGCUGCUAAUACCGCAUACGCCCCAAGGGGGAAAGCGGGGGAUCUUCGGACCGGUCGCUAUUGGAUGAGCCUGCGUAAGAUUAGCUAGUUGGUGGGGUAAAGGCUCACCAAGGCGACGAUCCUUAGCUGGUCUGAGAGGAUGAUC